RNAcentral lists this unclassified non-coding RNA (219 nucleotides) under Hevea brasiliensis (rubber tree). Lineage: Eukaryota; Viridiplantae; Streptophyta; Magnoliopsida; Malpighiales; Euphorbiaceae. The record is from RNAcentral.
GAUUUACAAGCCCUUUAUGAUGCUGUAGAUGGUUUCUCUCUCAUGACUUAUGACCAUUCAAGUCCUUAUAAUCCGGGUCCCAAUGCACCUCUGAAGUGGAUACGCUCCACCUUGCAUCUUCUUGUGGGUGCUGGCAGCAAAAGUAGGAGAUUGGGUGAAAAAAUCUUUGUCGGCAUCAACUUCUAUGGCAACGAUUUUGUCAUGUCCGGAGGUUUAGGC